RNAcentral lists this ribosomal RNA (455 nucleotides) under uncultured Oscillospiraceae bacterium. RNAcentral's name for it is "bacterial SSU rRNA". It matches the Rfam family "Bacterial small subunit ribosomal RNA", at positions 925 to 1382 of the family's 1533-position model. The record is from RNAcentral. Lineage: Bacteria; Bacillati; Bacillota; Clostridia; Eubacteriales; Oscillospiraceae.
ACAAGCAGUGGAGUAUGUGGUUUAAUUCGAAGCAACGCGAAGAACCUUACCAGGGCUUGACAUCCCUUGAAGCAGCUAGAGAUAGCUGUGCCUUCGGGACAAGGAGACAGGUGGUGCAUGGUUGUCGUCAGCUCGUGUCGUGAGAUGUUGGGUUAAGUCCCGCAACGAGCGCAACCCCUGUGGUUAGUUGCCAGCAAGUAGCGUUGGGCACUCUAGCCAGACUGCCGGUGAUAAAUCGGAGGAAGGUGGGGACGACGUCAAAUCAUCAUGCCCUUUAUGUCCUGGGCUACACACGUACUACAAUGGCCGUUACAACGGGAAGCGAAGGAGCAAUCCGGAGCAAAUCCCUUAAAGGCGGUCCCAGUUCAGAUUGUGGGCUGAAACUCGCCCACAUGAAGGCGGAAUUGCUAGUAAUUGCAGAUCAGCAUGCUGCAGUGAAUACGUUCCCGGGCCUU